RNAcentral lists this ribosomal RNA (548 nucleotides) under uncultured archaeon. RNAcentral describes it as "bacterial SSU rRNA". It matches the Rfam family "Archaeal small subunit ribosomal RNA", at positions 330 to 880 of the family's 1478-position model. The record is from RNAcentral.
GUGCAGCAGGCGCGAAUACUCCGCAAUGCGGGCAACCGCGACGGGGCUACCCCGAGUGCCGGGCGAAGAGCCCGGCUUUUGCCCGGUCUAAAACGCCGGGCGAAUAAGCGGGGGGCAAGUCUGGUGUCAGCCGCCGCGGUAAUACCAGCUCCGCGAGUGGUCGGGGUGUUUAUUGGGCUUAAAGCGCCCGUAGCCGGCCCGGCAAGUCCCUCCUUAAAGCCCACGGCUCAACCCGGGGGCGGGGGGCGAUACUGCCGGGCUAGGGGGCGGGAGAGGCCGCCGGUACUCCGGGGGUAGGGGCGAAAUCCGUUAAUCCCCGGAGGACCACCAGUGGCGAAAGCGGGCGGCCAGAACGCGCCCGACGGUGAGGGGCGAAAGCCGGGGGAGCAAAGGGGAUUAGAUACCCCUGUAGUCCCGGCCGUAAACGAUGCGGGCUAGCUGUCGGCCGGGCUUAGGGCCCGGCCGGUGGCGAAGGGAAACCGUUAAGCCCGCCGCCUGGGGAGUACGGCCGCAAGGCUGAAACUUAAAGGAAUUGGCGGGGGAGCAAC